RNAcentral lists this ribosomal RNA (445 nucleotides) under uncultured Bacteroidota bacterium. RNAcentral's name for it is "bacterial SSU rRNA". It matches the Rfam family "Bacterial small subunit ribosomal RNA", at positions 965 to 1412 of the family's 1533-position model. The record is from RNAcentral. Lineage: Bacteria; Pseudomonadati; Bacteroidota.
GGAACCUUACCAGGGCUUAAAUGUAGUGGGACAGGCUUGGAAACAGGCCCUUCUUCGGACUCAUUACAAGGUGCUGCAUGGUUGUCGUCAGCUCGUGCCGUGAGGUGUCAGGUUAAGUCCUAUAACGAGCGCAACCCCUGUUGUUAGUUGCCAGCGAGUAAUGUCGGGAACUCUAACAAGACUGCCGGUGCAAACCGUGAGGAAGGUGGGGAUGACGUCAAAUCAUCACGGCCCUUACGUCCUGGGCUACACACGUGCUACAAUGGCCGGUACAGAGAGCAGCCACUGGGCGACCAGGAGCGAAUCUAUAAAACCGGUCACAGUUCGGAUUGGAGUCUGCAACCCGACUCCAUGAAGCUGGAAUCGCUAGUAAUCGGAUAUCAGCCAUGAUCCGGUGAAUACGUUCCCGGGCCUUGUACACACCGCCCGUCAAGCCAUGGAAGCU